This 477-nucleotide ribosomal RNA is filed under the name uncultured bacterium. RNAcentral describes it as "partial 16S ribosomal RNA". It matches the Rfam family "Bacterial small subunit ribosomal RNA", at positions 355 to 824 of the family's 1533-position model. The record is from RNAcentral.
UAGGGAAUCUUCCACAAUGGACGCAAGUCUGAUGGAGCAACGCCGCGUGAGUGAAGAAGGUUUUCGGACCGUAAAGCUCUGUUGUUGGUGAAGAAGGAUAGAGGUAGUAACUGGCCUUUAUUUGACGGUAAUCAACCAGAAAGUCACGGCUAACUACGUGCCAGCAGCCGCGGUAAUACGUAGGUGGUAAGCGUUGUCCGGAUUUAUUGGGCGUAAAGCGAGCGCAGGCGGAAGAAUAAGUCUGAUGUGAAAGCCCUCGGCUUAACCGAGGAAUUGCAUCGGAAACUGUUUUUCUUGAGUGCAGAAGAGGAGAGUAGAACUCCAUGUGUAGCGGUGGAAUGCGUAGAUAUAUGGAAGAAUACCAGUGGCGAAGGCGGCUCUCUGGUCUGCAACUGACGCUGAGGCUCGAAAGCAUGGGUAGCGAACAGGAUUAGAUACCCUGGUAGUCCAUGCCGUAAACGAUGAGUGCUAAGUGUU